Non-coding RNA from Pelobates cultripes (western spadefoot toad), 256 nucleotides. Lineage: Eukaryota; Metazoa; Chordata; Amphibia; Anura; Pelobatidae. The record is from the annotation of a GenBank genome assembly.
CGUUGAGUGUGGAUGUGUUGGAGUGGCUUUUGCAUCGAGUUUUGGAGCAUUUCUGGAAAAAAAUUUGCAGAUUUUUUUUUUUUACUUUUUGGGUGCAUUUCUUAAGGAGUGCAAAGGUAGGGAGCUGAGCUUCAUCGUUUGCAUGCCUUUUACUGUGUGUUCUGCAUUGUGGGUUGGUUUCCAUGCCAGCUCAUUUUGACUUUUUUCUGACCUCUGGAACGGAUUAUUUGGUUUUCAAUGCAUUCCUAUGAGAAAC